RNAcentral lists this ribosomal RNA (427 nucleotides) under uncultured bacterium. RNAcentral's name for it is "bacterial SSU rRNA". It matches the Rfam family "Bacterial small subunit ribosomal RNA", at positions 355 to 774 of the family's 1533-position model. The record is from RNAcentral.
UGGGGAAUUUUGGACAAUGGGCGCAAGCCUGAUCCAGCCAUUCCGCGUGCAGGACGAAGGCCUUCGGGUUGUAAACUGCUUUUGUACGGAACGAAAAGGCUCUGGCUAAUACCUGGGGCUCAUGACGGUACCGUAAGAAUAAGCACCGGCUAACUACGUGCCAGCAGCCGCGGUAAUACGUAGGGUGCAAGCGUUAAUCGGAAUUACUGGGCGUAAAGCGUGCGCAGGCGGUUAUGUAAGACAGAGGUGAAAUCCCCGGGCUCAACCUGGGAAUGGCAGUGGAAACUGGCGGGCUAGAGUACGGUAGAGGAUGGUGGAAUUCCCGGUGUAGCGGUGAAAUGCGUAGAGAUCGGGAGGAACACCAGUGGCGAAGGCGGCCAUCUGGACCAGUACUGACGCUGAGGCACGAAAGCGUGGGGAGCAAACA